UUCGUAUUGUUGUGAAGAGUAACAACAUAAAUUUGACUCAAGACGAAGUUUUUUCAUAUUACCAAACAUUAUCUCUUGGCAUCUGUCUGUCAGAGCGACGUUCACCGAUGGGUGGUUGCUGUAGAUAGUUUCCACAGAGGUGGCAUCUUCAUUGAUUUUCACAAUCACAAAAGAAGGUUGAUCCGACUAUCCGAAAUAAACUUUCUUUCAAGUACAAAACUCAAUCGUAAAUAGCGAUUUUGAUAGCGCGUCGGAGGGAGACGAUGCAGUAAAUUUGAAUGGAUGGAAUCACUAACAGCAACCAAGGUACACACAAAAACAAACAUUGUUUCAGAGAAAGUUUUGCACUUUCCACUUGAAAAGAGCUUUGUUUUCUUGAAAAUGAAAGUGAAAUUGGUUUGAGUAAAAGUUAUUUUUUUGUUUGAAAGUAGAUUUUCUCUUGUUAUUACUGUUAAAUUAAAAGUUCUCCCAUUCAUAUGAAAAGUUGUAGAAACGUCAAAUCAAUCAAUGGUGAACCUUUGAGCAAGGCAGAGAGAAGGAAAAAAUAUGACUCACUUUAAGUUCUAGGCACUAUAGAAUAUCAGAAGGUAAAAAACCAUAAUUCAUAUUUUUAUUUCGUGUCAUCAUCAAAAUGAUUGGUUUGGAAUCCGUACGUUAGAGUUAUUAACUUAUUUUUACACGCAUGAAUAGGGUGCCUGCGCUCGAAAAUUGCUUGCAAAUGAAUAACAGUAAAUAAUAAAUCGUAUGGACGCUUCGUUUCGCAUCGCAUUUCGCGUCUACGCACCUCAAAAGGAAUAACGCGACUGUAAUUGUUACUCAUGACUUAAUUAAAAUUAAAGCACAGACAAACAGACGUCUAACUCAACACAUGUUCCAUAGUUCACCUUUUUAACGAUUGAUUUAAAUUUUUGUAGCUGGUCAAUCGGCCACCGAUGGCGCUUCCAUCGGUUUCACUUGUGUUUGACGUUUGCUCACUACCGCCAUCUGGUUGCCGCUUGGCCACACACAGUGAUUUUAGCAUUGGGCGACAAAGUUUCCGCAACAAUGAUUUUGAUUGUAUUUUGUUCCAAGUGAGACGUCUGUUUCUCUGUGAUUAAAGUAAGCCGUAACACUCUCCACUCAUGCAAAGCAAUCGAUCCUUUAUAUGGGUUUACUCUAAUAGGCUCCUUAAAUAAAAUAAGCAUAUUUCUCACAUUAUUGAUAAACUAUAUUUUGACCACUUAAUUAUUAAACAUUUCUCAUAGUGCCUCGUACUUCACAGAAGCUGUCACUCUUAUUUUUUAUCCCUCUUUCAUAACAGCAAAAACAAAUAAAAAGAAUCAGUUUUGCAACCGCGAAUAUGUUCGGUGUCGUCCGGUGGUGCGUUUAAUUUUAUUAUAAAUACGGAGCAACAGAGCUGAUGUGGAUAUGUGGAUAUGCUAUUUUGGUUUUUUGGACAGACCAUUAUAUGGCAAAGAAAAUGCCACGGUUGUGGCCCUAACAUGGAACUGAAAGAUAAUUCGCAUGUCCCGGCGGUCACAAACCAACGAAAAAACAACAGCGCAAUGCUUAAGAAACACCCGAGAUUUCCGACCGGUGGUUGGAUUAUUGGAUUAUUCCGAUGAGCAACCACAGAACAAUAUAAUAAAAUGAUUUAAAUAAAUAAAAUUGAAAAAGAAAACCUUUUUUCUCGAUUUUUUCAACUCGAAAUUAAUAUAUGAAUAAAGGGUAGGAAUGGGGUCUCAUUUUUGGAUAAAUAAAAUAAUUUCGAAAUGAAAAUAUUCUACUCUCCUUUUCGCCAUAUUUUAGGCUUUUUGGUUUGACAGUACAACAUUUUUUUUAAAUGCUCGAACUUUUAAUUUUAGAGCGGUAUGCCGCACUUUAAACCAUGGUUGUCAUAAAAGUUGGCGUACUUUUGUUUUUAAUAUACACAACUCUCUACGAAAAAGAACCAACGUAACUUUUCAUUUUUACCAAUGGUUUUUUAAUUCUAAUAAUGAUUUUUCUUUCUGUGUACCACGCCAAACCCGAUGCCACCGAAACAGUCCAUUUUCGCAAUUAACUCUUUCUUUUUAUAAAAUGUUGGUCCUGAGAAGAACCAAUUUUCUUUUCCCAAUGUUCCUUUGCAACUAACUGACACCACAAUUUGUAAUAAAUUUUCAGCAUCGGCACUGGCGGUGCGGGAUCGCCACAGUGCUAUUUUUAUGGUCAACCUUUUCUUCAUAUGAAAUUCUGGUUCGUUGAGGUUGAAUGAUCUGCAGCAACACAUCGAGCACCAACACCAAUGCGAUGGAUUUUAUUUGAAAAUGUUAUUAGCGCCUCCGUGAUGCUGUGUCCGCUCCGCUACGAUCGCUUUGAUGCGUCUGCUAUGCGUAAAAUCUUGUUCAAAUUGAUUAGAUCCAAACCCGCAAGUGAUUGAUUUUUGAUGUCUGUGCUAGUGAUGCAUGUACGUGAUUGGUUAGUUUACCUAUUUCUAAACUUUUUAUCAAUUAUCGAUAAUAAAUAGUUAAAAAUCAGUAUUUUCAAAUAAAUACAAAGAAGCGUUGACUCAUCCUUGAUCGAAUGGUCCAAAAAAAUUGAAAAUCCAUCGAGAAACGGCUUAGAUAUUGAAGCUUAAAGCAUUGACGAAUACAUAGACGGAGUGGUGGCCAUUUUUCCGGGCACCACUAUAUACCCCUGGGGAGUGACGAAUUACAAUUAUUACAAUCACUCGACCAUUGAGAAGCCCCUCAAUUCGAAUCACGUCAGUUUGACAACAGUUGUCAGUUAUGCUCAUUUGUUUAUGUUUGAUGUUUGUUUUUUUUGACGAAUUUUUCAAUCGCGUUAGAAACAUUCAGUUAUUGCGCAUAAUCCCCAAAAUUUUAUUCCCACCUUUGGGUUUCCGCGCCGAGCACUCAGCGCCAGACUCGGCGACAAGGAGAUAGUCGUCAAGUUGGUACUCCUGAUUUUUUGACAACUGAUGUCGAUUGGUUGUGUGAGUGCACCGGUGUCAAAAAAUAGAGCUUUUAGCUGAAAAUUUAAUUGUCAAAUGCACAUUUUGACACACAUUUUGACACACAUUUUGAUGUAUGAGUGAAUAAAAUGUGUAAAUGCUCUAUCGCGGCAGCAGUCGCUGAAGACAAGUGUCAAUGAUUUCAGUGACGAAACGAAAAGUUUCAAUGCAAAAAGCAAUAUUGUGUUGAACUACGAAAUUUCUCGCAAAAAAGAAGUUCGUAUAUUCCGUGGGUUUGACGGGAGUAUCGACGAUCGCGUGGGGACGAAGCUUUAUUUAGAAAUUGGUGAACAGAAGAGUGUCGAACGGGAAAAACUCCGAAGGAAGAAAACAGGCCACAAUCACUGUGGCGGUUAGAAUAAUCGAGAAGGUACCCGGUAUUGCCCGGUAUUUUCAAGAAUUGAUGGUAUUUAUUCCGUUAGAUCAGAAUCCGACCAUGGAAAUGUGAAACUCAAUAUCCUUCGUAAAGUUUCUGAAAAGUGAGUCCUGAUAGAAACGAUGGCGAGGAGUAUUCCGGUUCGGCUAUCAAUAUGGAAUUUCUGAUUGAGGCAAGAAUCCAACUAGCAAGAAUCCGACCACCGCUCAGGAAUACCACCUCUGGCAUGCAUACGCUUUGCUUCAUUCACUGUGCAAUAACAGCCGUACUCCGAAGAUCUUUGUGCAUCCUCAGUGCAAUGACUCCCUGAACCGACAUGUCAAUGACCUUCCAUCCACGAACUUAAAUAGCCGUGCGGUUCUUUGUUCGGGAAUGCAUUCAAAUUCUUGCGUGUUGCAGUGAGACGCCCCAGUUGGAGUUGUUCCGGAAUUUAGAUCCCCUAGCGGAUUCACAUCGUCAACUUCUGGCUUUCCAAGAAUGCGCUGGUUGCAAAUCGUAUUAUCAUGGUCACUAAGCAUCAACUAAUUAAGGCUAGUAAUACUGACGCAAAACGAUAAACGCCGAAGAUUGUGUUGGCCAGAUAAGGGAACCCCCUCACAAAGAAUAACAAUUAGAGUUCCCUCUCUACACCACGGCAGGCUACUGACUGAUACUUCUGCCAGCAGCUGCAGUUCUCUUUAUUCAACAAUAGCGAAGCGUCGCACACUACCUGAUAUUCCAACAGAUUGAUCGACCAAUCUGCAGCAGUCGAGGGUGAUAAAUUUCCCCAUUUAUUGUGCUAAUUCGUUGAUUUUGCUGCUGGAUUAUGCGCUGGAGAUCCACCCUUUGCCUCCUGUUGUUAAACUUCAUGUAUUGCGGUGCUGCAUAUUAUCCCACCCUUUGCUGCCAGUUCCGGUGCUACGAUUCCUGCUCGUAGCGAAGGCUAUCGCUGUUUUUCGAUCCUGCUGCUGUGACAUCCUGACCAAAUAUUUUUAUUCAACUGAACAUUAAGCAUGCUGCGGAAAACCGUUCGUUUCGCCAUAUUGAUCAGCAGCUGUAAGAUACCACGAAGGAAACCAACAAUAAUACUUGAUUUGACGGGUCUGGAGCCGAGUCUGGAGCAUCCCCAGAAGCAGGUUAGAGAAGGUUAGCAGGCCAUUGGAGGAACAAUCCACAGCGAUAAAUCGCUUGGGGAACGUGGACAUUUGCGUGAUUCGGACUAAAAAUUGAAAGCAAAGGCUGCUUUUUCCGAGGCUAUUCGUUUUCGUACCGAGGGCUGAUUUUCUUUGCUACUAUGCGAUGCCAAAGAAGCUUCCACACCGAUGAUCUUGAUUCAACGGUAAGCUAUUCAUCCGUAACAUGUUUUAGUUUUUAUUUUGAUAUACAGUCGCGAUUCGCUGGUUGGGCCACGACCUCGGCCCAACUAACGAAUUCGGUUUUUUAGUUGGGCCAACUGACAGCCAUUUGAACACGUGUAUUUCGACUUGAACAUCACAAAUGAUGUCCAGUGACACCCAAUCCCGUUUUCCGUGUUUACAUUGAAUUUUGACGUACGGUUGCUUUUUAGUUGGGCCAUGGCCCAACCAACGGAGGCCCAACUAAAAAGUGACCCAAGUAUUAAGAUCCCAACCAGCGAAUCCCGACGAAUAUAUUUUUAGAUCUUUGCACCUAUGGUCACGGAACGGGGCUUUUACAGUACUUCCAGCAUCCUUACUGCUCUCACAAGUUUCGGGAUUAUAUACCGUCAAAUCUCUACAUGGCUACUGCGGAGCAGCCUAGCAGGUGACCCGGUACCUGCUGCGGUUAACGCUUACUGACCCGAAGCUGCUCCUGAUCAUCCAGCCAGUUCCGGUUUCGUCGAUCGCGUAAUUUUAAUCUAUCGGUAAUCAGUUUCGCUAAUUGCCCAACAUCCAACAACGAAUAGGUUGAUAAAGACUGUAUAUUGUAAAUAUAUUUAUAUAGUAGAAUUAAAUUAAGAAGGCAUGCCAAAAAGCUGCCAGCUGUUGAUGAAUAUAAAAAAAAUGAUAAUAAUGUGCACUAUAGGCUUAUUUGUUUUGUUUUUUUUUGCGAAAUAUUGAUUUGUUUAUAUAUUUGCCCGGUAUGGUACAUAAUCAAAAGAGCGAGAUGCAUCACUCCAGCAUGCUGAUUGUAGAGUUCACCCAAGUUUGAAUUACUGUUUCGGAUCACUAGCAAAUUAAAACGUUUGACUCAAUGCUUAA
Long non-coding RNA from Armigeres subalbatus, 5545 nucleotides. RefSeq lists it as uncharacterized. The record is from RefSeq and is a predicted model, not a curated record. NCBI's taxonomy places the organism in Eukaryota, Metazoa, Arthropoda, Insecta, Diptera, Culicidae. The transcript is spliced from 6 exons.